GUUCGAUUUUGUAAAUUUUUCCAUAGCCUCCGAAAAGUUUCUUUGAAUACCCUCACAAGUCGUCACUAAUCGAUCCAUUUGUUUUUGUUUUCCAGAUCUGGCAGAUAUUGCUGCGCUAGAUAUUGAUGGGGGAAGUGUUGCCCCUCUUGCUCCUGAUGACAGUGGUGAUGAACACUACGGUGAUGGCGACGGCGUGGAAGCGGCGAGAUAUUUGUCGGGGAUGAUGACAUCGAAUCUGAAAAUGAGUAUUUUGAAUUUAUCUCUUCCACGUUAUUGAUGGAAACCACCAAUUAUUUGAUGCACCUCCUCAAAUAAAUGCCAAGAAAUUCGAUGGAUUCGUCUGAUGAGGAGCUGGCGCUUAUUUACCUUGCAGUAAACAAUAAAAAAAAAAAACGUGAAAAGAAGGAACUGGAUCCAUGAAAUUUAUUUCAAUCGGAAAGAACAUGGCGAAUUCUCUACUUUGAUGUCUCAGCUUCGCCAAGACAAUAUUCGUUUUUAUAAAUAUUUCCGAAUGACUAUUGAGUGCUUUGAUGAAGUACUGAGUAUUAUUAAAAAUGAGAUUCAAAAAGCAGACACACAAUUUCGAGAGUGCAUUGGACCCGAAGAACAACUUGCAUUGCCUUAAGAUAUUUCGCAACUGGCGAUUCAUUUAUCACAAUUUGGUAAUAGCUUUCGUGUAGGAUUUAGAACAGUCAGCUUGAUUGUUAACGAAGUAUUUGAGGCGAUGUAAAAAAAAAUUGAAAGAUUUUAUUUGCCGGAACCAACAAUGGAAAUUUUGGGAAAAAUCAGCUCAAGGAUUUCAAGAUUUGUGGCAAUCUCCAAAUUGCAUAGGUAGCAUCGACGUUUUCUGUCGUGCUUAUGGCUAUCGUUGGCCAAAGCACUUCACCACCAAUUUAGUCGCCGCUGGAAAGAAGAUUACCUCAAAGAUCUUCAGAAGAGAUACAAGUGGAAAACCCCAAAACGCGAUCCUCAGCCAGGCGACCUCGUCGUGAUCAAAGAAGAUUCGCUCCCCCCCACCGAAUGGCGAUUGGGACGAAUCGAAAACGUUCGCCAGGGCCCUGAUAACCACAUACGUGUCGUAGAAAUCCGUACGCAAAAUGGAGGUAUCACGCGACCACUUGUCAAACCGUGCUUCCUUCCAAAAGCACAAUAAAUAAUUCUAUACAUCUUUUCCUUUUGUAUAUUAAGGGUCUUAACUUCCCGCUUAAAUAUUAUACCCAAGUACUCCUCGUUUCUCUGCCUGUGCUUCUACUUCCAGAUUGAAGACAUCAUGGCAUCGCGGAAGGCAUGCCCCCUGGCUCCAACGGCAGAGACGGAUAACUGCCUACAAUGCCGGCUCUGCCACCGGUACCACGCCUUGAGGACGUGCCCGGCCUUCAAAGCAAUGAA
This is a long non-coding RNA of Rhagoletis pomonella (apple maggot), 1389 nucleotides long. RefSeq lists it as uncharacterized. Lineage: Eukaryota; Metazoa; Arthropoda; Insecta; Diptera; Tephritidae. The transcript has 4 exons. The record is from RefSeq and is a predicted model, not a curated record.